RNAcentral lists this ribosomal RNA (254 nucleotides) under uncultured bacterium. RNAcentral's name for it is "partial 16S ribosomal RNA". It matches the Rfam family "Bacterial small subunit ribosomal RNA", at positions 524 to 776 of the family's 1533-position model. The record is from RNAcentral.
UACGUAGGGGGCAAGCGUUGUCCGGAUUUAUUGGGCGUAAAGAGCGUGUAGGCGGCCAGACAGGUCUGCUGUGAAAACUCGAGGCUCAACCUCGAGACGCCGGUGGAAACCGUCUGGCUAGAGUCCGGAAGAGGAGAGUGGAAUUCCUGGUGUAGCGGUGAAAUGCGCAGAUAUCAGGAAGAACACCCGUGGCUAAGGCGGCUCUCUAGUACGGUACUGACGCUGAGACGCGAAAGCGUGGGGGAGCAAACAGG